GCGCUGGAAUCCUUUCUGUUGCCAAGGUGACAGGCACUAUUAAAGGAUCGUGUGGCCUUUUCAAGCAAAGGAUCUAAAGUGGAAGGCCCUGACUGAAUUUGGCAUCUUGUUCUUGGUAAUGCACUGCCGCAGAACAAAAGCGAUGAAGGAAGGAGAACAGAAAAUUGCAAGAAAAUAUCUUCAAACUAUAAGGCUGGUGAGUCCAUCAUCCUCUCAGGAAAUAAAGAGUUCUGCAGGAGGCUGAGACCCAUUAAACAGCAGGCCUCCAUUCAACCAAUGUGUUCAGGGCUCUCCUCGGCCACCAUCAUCCAUGGAUUUGUCUAAAGAUUUUUUUGAUCCAUUUUCUGUAUUAACAGGGGCCCAUUUCAGUAGCUUCAGAGGCAAGGCAUGAAUCAGAUCUGGAUGAACUGGCAGUCUUAUGCAGACAAACUCUGGGCUACUGACUAUAAAAAGCACAUCUGGGGCAAGAUGAGAAUGAGUAAACAGUUAACA
This is a long non-coding RNA of Polypterus senegalus (gray bichir), 492 nucleotides long. RefSeq lists it as uncharacterized. Lineage: Eukaryota; Metazoa; Chordata; Cladistia; Polypteriformes; Polypteridae. The record is from RefSeq and is a predicted model, not a curated record. The transcript has 3 exons.